GCAUCCGUAGCUCAGCUGGAUAGAGUACUCGGCUACGAACCGAGCGGUCGGAGGUUCGAAUCCUCCCGGAUGCUCCA
Molecule: transfer RNA, 77 nt
Filed under: Escherichia coli
Lineage: Bacteria; Pseudomonadati; Pseudomonadota; Gammaproteobacteria; Enterobacterales; Enterobacteriaceae
Also listed under: 2 other names
Description: tRNA-Arg
Rfam family: tRNA
About the family: Transfer RNA (tRNA) molecules are approximately 80 nucleotides in length. Their secondary structure includes four short double-helical elements and three loops (D, anti-codon, and T loops).
Source: RNAcentral